GGGCGGUUCCCCCUUCGGGGGGACAGGGUGACAGGUGGUGCAUGGUUGUCGUCAGCUCGUGUCGUGAGAUGUUGGGUUAAGUCCGCAACGAGCGCAACCCUCGACCUUAGUUGCCAGCAUUCAGUUGGGCACUCUAAGGUGACUGCCGGCUAAAAGUCGGAGGAAGGUGGGGAUGACGUCAAAUCAUCAUGCCCCUUAUGACCUGGGCUACACACGUGCUACAAUGGGCGGUACAAAGGGUCGCGAACCCGCGAGGGGGAGCCAAUCCCAAAAAGCCGCUCUCAGUUCGGAUUGCAGGCUGCAACUCGCCUGCAUGAAGCCGGAAUCGCUAGUAAUCGCGGAUCAGCAUGCCGCGGUGAAUACGUUCCCGGGCCUU
Molecule: ribosomal RNA, 376 nt
Filed under: uncultured Anoxybacillus sp.
Lineage: Bacteria; Bacillati; Bacillota; Bacilli; Caryophanales; Anoxybacillaceae
Description: bacterial SSU rRNA
Rfam family: Bacterial small subunit ribosomal RNA
Source: RNAcentral